This 269-nucleotide ribosomal RNA is filed under the name uncultured prokaryote. RNAcentral describes it as "partial 16S ribosomal RNA". It matches the Rfam family "Bacterial small subunit ribosomal RNA", at positions 524 to 792 of the family's 1533-position model. The record is from RNAcentral.
UACGUAGGUGGCAAGCGUUAUCCGGAAUUAUUGGGCGUAAAGAGCGCGCAGGUGGUUGAUUAAGUCUGAUGUGAAAGCCCACGGCUCAACCGUGGAGGGUCAUUGGAAACUGGUCGACUUGAGUGCAGAAGAGGUAAGUGGAAUUCCUAGUGUAGCGGUGAAAUGCGUAGAUAUUAGGAGGAACACCAGUGGAGAAGGCGACUUACUGGUCCAUAACUGACGCUGAGGCGCGAAAGCGUGGGUAGCGAACAGGAUUAGAUACCCCGGUA